Molecule: ribosomal RNA, 253 nt
Filed under: uncultured bacterium
Lineage: Bacteria
Description: partial 16S ribosomal RNA
Rfam family: Bacterial small subunit ribosomal RNA
Source: RNAcentral
UACGUAGGGUGCGAGCGUUAAUCGGAAUUACUGGGCGUAAAGGGCGCGCAGGCGGUUUUGCAAGCCGGAUGUGAAAUCCCCGGGCUCAACCUGGGAAUGGCAUUUGGGACUGCAAGGCUCGAGUGCGGCAGAGGAGACUGGAAUUCCUGGUGUAGCAGUGAAAUGCGUAGAUAUCAGGAGGAACACCGGUGGCGAAGGCGGGUCUCUGGGCCGAUACUGACGCUGAGGAGCGAAAGCGUGGGGAGCGAACAGG